ACCAGUGUGGCGUAGUGGUUUGAGUGUUGGACUACGACCCUGGAGAUCAGGGUUCGAAUCCCUGUUUGGCC
Phrynosoma platyrhinos (Desert horned lizard) is the source of this 71-nucleotide non-coding RNA. Lineage: Eukaryota; Metazoa; Chordata; Lepidosauria; Squamata; Phrynosomatidae. The record is from the annotation of a GenBank genome assembly.